RNAcentral lists this transfer RNA (72 nucleotides) under Ornithorhynchus anatinus (platypus). It matches the Rfam family "tRNA". From Rfam's summary of the family: Transfer RNA (tRNA) molecules are approximately 80 nucleotides in length. Their secondary structure includes four short double-helical elements and three loops (D, anti-codon, and T loops). Further hydrogen bonds mediate the characteristic L-shaped molecular structure. tRNAs have two regions of fundamental functional importance: the anti-codon, which is responsible for specific mRNA codon recognition, and the 3' end, to which the tRNAs corresponding amino acid is attached (by aminoacyl-tRNA synthetases). tRNAs cope with the degeneracy of the genetic code in two manners: having more than one tRNA (with a specific anti-codon) for a particular amino acid; and 'wobble' base-pairing, i.e. permitting non-standard base-pairing at the 3rd anti-codon position. Lineage: Eukaryota; Metazoa; Chordata; Mammalia; Monotremata; Ornithorhynchidae. The record is from Rfam by way of RNAcentral.
AGCAGCAUGGCUCAGUGGAAAGAGUACAGGCUUGGGAGUCAGAGGACCUGGGUUCUAAUCCCAGCUCUGCCA